RNAcentral lists this ribosomal RNA (977 nucleotides) under Chryseobacterium sp. S2H61. RNAcentral describes it as "bacterial SSU rRNA". It matches the Rfam family "Bacterial small subunit ribosomal RNA", at positions 464 to 1451 of the family's 1533-position model. Lineage: Bacteria; Pseudomonadati; Bacteroidota; Flavobacteriia; Flavobacteriales; Weeksellaceae. The record is from RNAcentral.
AGUAGCUGAAGGUACAGUAUGAAUAAGCACCGGGCUAACUCCGUGCCAGCAGCCGCGGUAAUACGGAGGGUGCAAGCGUUAUCCGGAUUUAUUGGGUUUAAAGGGUCCGUAGGCGGACUCGUAAGUCAGUGGUGAAAUCUCAUAGCUUAACUAUGAAACUGCCAUUGAUACUGCGGGUCUUGAGUAAAGUAGAAGUGGCUGGAAUAAGUAGUGUAGCGGUGAAAUGCAUAGAUAUUACUUAGAACACCAAUUGCGAAGGCAGGUCACUAUGUUUUAACUGACGCUGAUGGACGAAAGCGUGGGGAGCGAACAGGAUUAGAUACCCUGGUAGUCCACGCCGUAAACGAUGCUAACUCGUUUUUGGGACUUCGGUUUCAGAGACUAAGCGAAAGUGAUAAGUUAGCCACCUGGGGAGUACGUUCGCAAGAAUGAAACUCAAAGGAAUUGACGGGGGCCCGCACAAGCGGUGGAUUAUGUGGUUUAAUUCGAUGAUACGCGAGGAACCUUACCAAGGCUUAAAUGGGAAUUGAUGGGUUUAGAAAUAGAUCGUCCUUCGGGCAAUUUUCAAGGUGCUGCAUGGUUGUCGUCAGCUCGUGCCGUGAGGUGUUAGGUUAAGUCCUGCAACGAGCGCAACCCCUGUCACUAGUUGCCAUCAUUAAGUUGGGGACUCUAGUGAGACUGCCUACGCAAGUAGAGAGGAAGGUGGGGAUGACGUCAAAUCAUCACGGCCCUUACGCCUUGGGCCACACACGUAAUACAAUGGCCGGUACAGAGGGCAGCUACACAGCGAUGUGAUGCGAAUCUCGAAAGCCGGUCUCAGUUCGGAUUGGAGUCUGCAACUCGACUCUAUGAAGCUGGAAUCGCUAGUAAUCGCGCAUCAGCCAUGGCGCGGUGAAUACGUUCCCGGGCCUUGUACACACCGCCCGUCAAGCCAUGGAAGUCUGGGGUACCUGAAGUUCGGUGACCGUAACAGGAGC